UAUGCAACACAUUAGCAUUUACUUUUCCCCCAAAAAAUAAUACUAGUAGUAUUGACUAUUCGAUGGGCCAUCCCAUAGGAAAUAUCGGUACUCCAUUAAAUAAUAGUCUUUCCUUUUGCCAUGGCUUCUUCCUCUAUUCGUUUGAUAAUCUAGAUCUACUCUCUUCAUCUUCUUCUUUCUCUUUUUAUUUUACCAUUUUUCUCUUCUAAUUCUACAGAUCUUAUCCCACUUUUCGAUCUGAUUUUGGUUACAGAUCCACUCGUUCCUCAUCUUUUUGCUUUUGUUGGUUUACAAUUCCUUUUGUUAUUUACAGAUCCACUCGUUUAUUUACAGAUCCAUUCUGAUUUUUUAACACGGUUUGUGCUGAGUUAUGCCAUCCAAAAGAUGGCAUUUUUAUUGCAAUGUAUUGGAAAAGAUAAAUACAGAUCCACUCGUUUAUUUACAGAUCCAUUCUGAUUUUUUAACACGGGUUGUGCUGAGUUAUGCCAUCCCAAAGAUGGCAUUUUUAUUGCAAUGUAUUGGAAAAGUCAAAUACAGAUCCACUCGUUUAUUUACAGAUCCAUUCUGAUUUUUUAACACGGUUUGUGCUGAGUUAUGCCAUCCCAAAGAUGGCAUUUUUAUUGCAAUGUAUUGGAAAAGUCAAAUACAGAUCCACUCGUUUAUUUACAGAUCCAUUCUGAUUUUUUAACACGGUUUGUGCUGAGUUAUGCCAUCCCAAAGAUGGCAUUUUUAUUGCAAUGUAUUGGAAAAGUCAAAUACAGAUCCACUCGUUUAUUUACAGAUCCAUUCUGAUUUUUUAACACGGUUUGUGCUGAGUUAUGCCAUCCCAAAGAUGGCAUUUUUAUUGCAAUGUAUUGGAAAAGUCAAAUACAGAUCCACUCGUUUAUUUACAGAUCCAUUCUGAUUUUUUAACACGGUUUGUGCUGAGUUAUGCCAUCCCAAAGAUGGCAUUUUUAUUGCAAUGUAUUGGAAAAGUCAAAUUCCUAUCAAUUUAAUUUGUCCACUUUGAAUAUCUAUCGAUCUCUAUACAAAUGAUAUCUAAUGUUGCUCAUCUAUUUUGUAGUCUCAUUCAAGGGUCACCAUUUUGUUGUCCUUCCUCUGCAAUCUGCUGUGCUCCUACCUGUGGUUCUUCAGCUGCUAGUUGAUUUGCCAUAUCUUGGAGUUGGUUUGUUAUUGGUUCAAUUGCUGAGCUAUCGCUGCAAAAGACAGACAUCAAAGUGACUUGAUAUCAUCAUUGUCCUCUUUUGUAAGAGAAGCAAAAGUAUCACUUUAAUAUGCCUGCAAGUGUGCAUAUAACGGACUAUCUUCUGGAUUAUCUUCCAAGUGGAUGGAUGGUCCUAUCAUCGAGGACUCGCCUCUGAGAGAUAUUUUCUCAUUAGUCAAACUUUUUCUUCCCAUUUGUAUAACUGGGGAGUUUGAUGUAGAUCUGUAUGACGAUCCUGAAGGAGAUGUUCUUCAUUUGGAAUGUGGGGAUGAUCUUCCCCAUCCUCUACCUCUACCUCUAUCCCAUGGAGAUUCCAUCCUGCAAAUAUUCACGAGAUAAGAAAUCCGGUAGAGAAUUAUCAAUUCCCUUUUUGUAUUGAAUUUCAAAAUUAAAAGGGGCCAAUUGAGCCUGCCAUUUUGCGAAUAUCAUUUUUGAGGCAUCAUGUUUAAAAUCUUUGUUAAACAUAUAUUUAACAGAUUGUGCGUCAGGUUUUAUCAAAAACUUUUAAUUGUAUAAAUCAUCUUGGAAUUUUAAAACACACUUAACUAUGGUUAACAUUUCAUGAGCCACAGUAGCGUAUUUUCUCUGGGCUUCAGACCAUUUUCCAGAGUAAAAUCUAAUCAAAUAUUCAUGCUUAUUAUUAGGAUUUAUCUGUUUCAAAAUCCCUCCGUAAUCAAUAUUGGACGCAUCAGUAUAGAUAAUUUUUUGCCAUGCAAGAUUAGCAAGGGUCAAACAAGGUAAAGAUUUAACACGUUGCUUAAUAUUUUUAACCAAAAUAGUAUGACUAUCAGUCCAAGGAUUUUUAUAAUCCUUUUUUAGCCUAUCAUAUAAGGGGGCUAAAUAACGAGACAAAUCUUUAUAAAAAGGUGAUAUAUAGUUUAAACUUCCCAAAAAUCUUUGUAACUGAGUUUUAUCAGUAAUAAUAUUGGGAAAUUUUGAAGCAAAAUCAAAAGAUCUUUGAAUCGGAGUAAUUUUUCCUUGACAAAUAUAAUGUCCUAAAAAUCGAAUAUUAGUUUGGAAUAAACUCAUUUUUUGUUUUGAAAUAACCAAAGCAUUGUGUAUAAUAAUUCUUUUAAAAAUAUCUAAAUGCUUAAUAUGCACUUCAAAUGUUUUUGAGAAUAUCAUCAAUAUAAACAAUGAUAAAAUUAAGAU
Nicotiana tabacum (common tobacco) is the source of this 2356-nucleotide non-coding RNA. NCBI's taxonomy places the organism in Eukaryota, Viridiplantae, Streptophyta, Magnoliopsida, Solanales, Solanaceae. The record is from RefSeq and is a predicted model, not a curated record.